UCCACAGUAGUGUACAACUGGAGCAACCUGUAAUUGGGAGGUGGAGACAGCAGGAUCUCUGCAAGCUCAAAGUCAAUGUCUCAGUUACUUCUCUAUUGCUGUGAAGAAGCACCAUUACCAAGGCAACUCAUAAAAUAAAGCCUUCAAUUGGGAGUUUGCUUACAGUUUCAGAGGGUCAGUCCAUAAUCAUCAUGGUGGGGAGAAGGCAGGCAGGCAUGUUGCUAUAGGAGAAACACAGAGUCCAUGGAAUGUCAUAGGCUUUUGAAAGCUCAAAGCCUACCCACGAUGACACACUUCCUUUAAUGUGGUAUGUACCAUGUCAGUGUUUCCUUACCAAACACUUCCACCAACCAGAGACCGAGCAUUCAAAUAUAUGAGCCUGUGGGGAACAGUCCCACUCAAAAGAGAAAAAGAAAAAAAAAGGAAAGAAAAGAUAAAGAGGUUAUUUUUUUGCCCCUAUGGUGGGGCACACCUGUAAUUUCAGCCCUUGAGAGAUGGAAGCAGAAAGAUCAAGAAUUCAAGGUUAUUCUUGUCCAGAUAGCUAGUUUGAGGCCAACCUGGGCUACAUGCCACUCUGUUUCAAAAAAAAAAAAAUUGUGAUGAAUACAUUUCACCCAAGUAUUCUACUUUAGGAAUUUAUCCUAUAAUAAAACAUAUAUAACACAUGUGCAAACUCACUGACGCAAACAAGAGAAACUGUCUAAACAUUCUUUUUUGAAAAAAGCUAAGAUAAAUAAUUAUGGACACCCAGCAUACAGCCAUUCAAACAGCAAGAUGAUCUGUAUAUAUCAACAGGGAAAGAUGUCUAAAUUGGCCAUCACAUCUGAGAAGCCAUAGAAUGAUAUAUACAACUACAUUUGGGGAUAAAAAUAUAUGUAUAUUCAUUUAAGAAUAACUCAAAGAGAACAUACCAAAUCCAUUAGUGGCUAUUUUGAGAAUUAUAUAUUAUUUAAAUUUUUAAAAGAAAGUGUCUAUUUUCACUCCAGUAGUCAAGAAAAGUAUGUAUCUUUGAUUUCUUAACCAACUGUUCUAGAGGAUAACUCGAGACAUGUUUAGACUUGGGGAAGAGACUGAAUGUGGGCUCCACAGCACAGUGUGUGGGUUGUGGAGGUGGGUCAGUGUUGCAGUACAAAUCGGUCAGAAUGGUUCCCGUGUGUGUACCCUGGUGGUCUCUCCCUUGCUAGUUCAGCUCCAGCGGGCCAUGGGAUCUAGCCCUAAUUUAUCUCAGAUUAGUAUCUCUCCCAGCGGCCCUCUGGUAGCCUCGAACUUUCUGGUUCCAACUACCUGGUAAAAUCAAGACUCAACAAACUGUAACCCAACAAUCAGAUUUAUAUGUUAAAUUCUCAGUCCACAGUACAUCCACACAAUAAACUUAAAACCAAUUGAUAAGGAUAUAAACCUCCCACCUAGAUAAGAUAAAUUUGCCUACAGAAAUUCAUCCCAGCUACCUUGACAACUCAAGACCACCCAGAUUUGGGUCACCCUUCCCCGUCUCGAUCUUGAUUCUCCUUCUCUCCCACUUUAUAAAAGCUUUGUCCCUGCCUUAUUUUUUUUUUUUUUUUUUUUUACUGUCCAAUCAUGGCUUUGACCUAACUUGUCUGCCUUUACCCGUAUAAUGACAUCAACCUACAGGGUAGCAAGUGUUUUGUUUUCAUUGACCUGGCUUUUGAAACAACCCCAGGUUUCCCACUUGAGAAAAGGGAAAAAUAGCCAUCACAGAUAGCUCUCUGAAAACCUUUGUUCACCUCCAUUAAUAUCUUGUAAAGUCUUGGGACCUACAAGAGUCCCAGACCCUAAACCUAGUGGGAGGAUACAUAAGUGGGAGGAACAUAGACCUAGAAGAGUGAACAGAACUGGGAGAGUAGGUAGAACUGUGUAGGGCAAAGGUGGGGCCGUGAUGGAGCCAAGGCUGUGUCCUGGAUUGAUAAGUAGAAGAAGGAGGGGCCAGAAUGGCUAGGAGCAAAAAGAACCUAGCUGUGCACCUCUGAUCCCCUGUAGUAUUCCUGUGUGGGCUUUCCCUGCUCUGGGAUUUCUUCUCAUUCCUUUUUUCCAUGUAGCUUCUCCUUUUUUGAGUCUCCCACUUCCCACCCUAUCCCCCUCCUAUUGAAGGACUCCUGAGAGGCAGAUCAUGGAAAGGGUCAGCAAAUCUUUCCUUUGUUUUCUGCAGUUUGCAAACAUCCUCAUAAGAUUUUAGUUGCUUCUCUGUUUCAGUUCUAAUCCCAAGCUCUCAGGAGCUGGGACAAUGAAUUUUGGGGUGUUUAAUUGCUGCUUACUGGUGAAAGAUCUAGCCUCCAGAUCACAGGUACCAUGUAAGAGAAACUAGCCAUUGUUGAUCUUUUUAAAAUUAUACUCUGUUGUUAGCAAGUGGAUUUUUAGUCUUUCCUUCCGAAUUCUUUGAACAUCUUCUAUCUUCCUGAAACAAGUGACAAGGGUAUACGACCAGUUUUACUGUUUUGUCUUGCUUUUGAUAAAUCAUAAGGGAAUCUACAUGGGAUGAUUUGAAAGAAAAUUGCCCACAUAGGCCCAUAGGGAGUGGCCUUAUUAGGAGCAGGGCCUUGUUGGAGUAGAUGUGGCCUUGUUGGAGGAUGUGCAUCACUAGGGAACAGGCUUUGAGGUCUCAAAUGCUCAAGCCACGCCAGGUCUGUCAGUCUCCUCCUGUGCCUCUGGAUCCAGAUGUAGAAAUAUUGGCUACCUCUGCAGCACCCUGUCUGUCUGCCAGCAACCAUGCUUCCCACCAUGAUGAUAAUCCACUAAACCUCUGAAACUGUGAGUCAGUCCCAAUUAAAUUUUGUUGUUGUUGUUGUUGUUGUUAUAAGAGUUGCUGUGGUCAAGGUGUCUCUUCACAGCAAUAAAACUCUAAGGUUAUUUUAUGUCAGGGACUGAUUUUAUGGAGUAAACUUGAAUCAGCAUCACACUGUGUAUAAACACGGAGAAGCUUUCAUCAGCUACUCAUGACACUGAUUUCUUAGCUUGUAGAUGGUGGGAAGACUCAGUAAAUGUCACUAGUAUCCAACAUUAUUGCUGCUUCAUCCUUAUUAGUGUAUUUGGAAAGUUAAAUUUAAAUGGUUAGGGAUGUGGCUCAGUUGAUAGUUACCUAACCUGGACAAACCCUGGCUUCUAUCCCCUAUACCUUAAAAACCAAGUGUAGUGGCUCAUACCUGUAAUCCAGCACUCUGAUGGGAAGAGGAGAGAAAAUCAGGACCCCAAAUGCAUCUUGGCUACAAAGAGUUCCCAAUCCUUGAGCUACAUGAGUGACUGCCUUGGAAAAAAAUUCAAAAAUACAUAUUUAAUGAAAGAGGAUGUUGUUGCAUUUCAUGUAAAAUUUUACAUCAGAUGUAAUCAUUAGAACACAGGUGGUGAUGUUCUGUUUCUAAAUAGAGCUAGCAAUAGUCACCCAAAGUGGCUUACUAUAUUCUUUUGUUAAUAAGUGAAAAUAAUAACUAUCAUCACACAGAUUUAAUUUGCACAGACACUGCAAAUGUCUCUAAGUUAUUGCAGGGUAUUCACUGGAAUGGAAGUAGGCACAAUAUUUUUAAUUUAUAAUAAAAUCCCAUGCCAUCUGCUUUUCAGAAAAUAUGAUUGCAUGUGGGUAUUUUAAAUGAUCCUUUCUAGGAAUCUUCCUCAGCAUUUUCUGCCCUUAAAAUAUAAAUAAAUAAUAAAUCAGGCUUGGCCCAGCACUAAUUGGUUGCCAAGACUCAUUUUUGUAAAGAUCACUUUGGAGUUGUAGAUGUUCAUGAGAAGACUAAUUGCUAAGAGGUUUAAAUUAUGAUUAUUGUGAUUUAAUUGUUCAUAACAAUUUCCCUUUAGGAUUAUUUUUUUCCAAGUCAUUUAUUUCAUUUUACCAAAUGACCUUUUAAGAAAUUCUAUAAUCAGCAUACUUUGUCAAGCCAAAAUAGAAAACGUGAAGAUAUGGAGCUGCAAAGGCACAGUCAUGUUUCACCUGGUCCUCCUGCACCUCCUCCUCUUCCUCCCUUCCUCCUCCUCACCUGCUCCUCCUCCUACACUUCUUCCCUCCUAGCUCUACCUUCCCUCUUCUUUUCUUGUUUUAUUUUCUCCAUCAUUCUUCUAUUCCUCUGUUUCUCCUUAUCCCUCUGUACCCCCUGCCCUUGCUCUGAAGCCAUUCGUUUCACUAAAACGAUUCAAAAGAGAAAGAUGAAAAUAAAAAAAUAAAGAAUAAUCAUCUACCUUACUUUCCUCCUCGUUUAGGUCUACAUGAGAGGUAAACGUAUUUUAAAAUGGUAUUGACAGCAGCUGUAGGGUACAGACACGACUCAGUGCAUCUGCUAACAGCCUGACUUCUUGCUUUCCUCUUAGGGACGUGACUUUAUAAAGCUGGUAUCUUGACUUGGCUGCAGAAAAAGGUUCCUGAUAAGUUGGGACAAAGCAGCCAUUUUUAGUAGGAGGGUUAAGAAAAGGAGAGGCACUCAAGAAAGGAGUAAGACAUACCCAAGAGAAUGGGUGUAGCUCUCUCUAAGGAUACUCACCACUGCCUUUACAGUAGCCAUGUAUCCUGUUUUGGGUUCCUUCUGACUAUUCUACAUGACAACAUGGUUAUGAGCCUAUGAGGAGAAUGGUAGAAAGGUUUGAUAUCAGGGUGACAAGGUGUUUCUCCUUUGGUUGCUUUUGUCAGGAUAUUUUUGUCAUAGCCAGAAAAAAAAAAGCAAGAUAUAUAUCUUUAAGGAGUUUUACAGAUUAUUUUAGGCUGUGUGUGGUGGAUGGAAGGGACAGGUAGGAUGUCAUACAGGUGAGGCAGGUACAAGAUAGAACGAGGCCUGUCAUUGGAUGAGAAGGAAGGAUGGGCGGGAGAAAAGUUUUAGAGAGGAGGAGACUGGAGCAAGGAAAGGAAGCAGGGGAGAGAACAUGGCGGUGGAUGUUAAGAUUCCUCUCUGCACCUUUACAGGUUGUUAUGAAUUUCAUAAGGGAUGGAUGUGUACAGGGCUUUGUGUGUCUAGGUGGGCAAAUUAUAUCUUAUUAAUUGGUUGUAAGUUAAUUAAUUGUGUGAAUGUAUUGUACAUUGAGCAUUUAACACAUAAAUCUGGCUGUUGGGUUCCAGUUUGCUGAGUAAUGAUUUCACUGGGUGUUGGGAGUAUGAACAGAGUUUGUGACAGGGAGCUGUGCUAGUCUAUAGAAUGCUUGGGGCUAGCAUGAUGUGGGGCCAUGCUAGCACAACCCACGGAACACUAUGUGAAUCUCAGGCAUGGUAACAACUGCCAAGGGGACGGUAACAGAGAAACAGCUAGAGCACAGAUCCUUGGGAGUGGGAACUCGCAGGCAACCAGGAUGAGUGUCAUUGUUUAUAAUUUUACAGCAACAGGGACACAUUUAUGCCACAAUGUAUGUCUGAAGGUGAGAGAACAACUUUGGAGUUUGUUCUUCCAUCUUUACAUGGGCUCCAGGAAUUGAAUUCAGAUCAUCAGGUUUUACCGCAAGCUCCUUUAAUCACUGAGCAAUUUUGUUGGCCUCUCUCCUUACAUUUCUUUUGCAAAUGUCCUUAUUUUCUCUUAAGCACAGCAUUUUUGUCUUUCAGUUCUCUUAUUGCCAAUCUUUAGGAGUCCUAAAGGAUGUUCCUUUCUGUAAAGGGCAAUAUAAUGUUUCCUUUCUGUACACUGGGUGCUACUAAGUAUGUCAAUCAUCAAAACAUGGAAUCGAUAUAAAAAUAUGGCCUUGUCUGAGUUUGCAAUCCCAGGCAAGCUUUAUAGUAGGCUUAUAUGUCCGUGAGCAUGGACCCUUACUUCAUAACCAGCCUUGGACUCUGCCUCCUGUUUCUCUGGUAAAACAUUAAUUUUAAGAAAGGGAAAGUUUCAUAGCUGCCCCCAACCACUAGAAUUUAAAAUAUUAUGUGAAAUGGAAGAGGUGGGGGGAGCCAGGGGUUUAUUGAGGCCCACUAGGGAAAAAGUUACUGCCACUUCUGACCCAGGGUAGAGACUUGAUAUUCUAAACUUCCUAAAAUAUGAUGUACUAUUGUCUUCUCUCUAAAGAGAGAGGGAGGCCACUCCUCACAAAAUGAAUAUAACUGAUGACAUUUUACCGAAGUGGGUGGAAUAAUCAUCCUUUAAAGGGGUAAUGUGCUUAUGUGCUUUGUAAGUCCUCCCCUUCCGUUGCUUACAGUCCUCAAGUGCUUAGAAAAGCUAUUGAGAUCACACAUGCACACACGUGCACACACACACACACACACACACACACACACACACACACAAUUUUUUUUCUGCUCCUGUUCUUGAAUCCUAUGCCUGCUUGCCCUCAGGCUGGGCACUCUCACUCUUUGUAUGAAGUAUCCCCUACCCCAUGAUGUUGCUUUCACACUCAUCUCUAACUCAAAACAAUGUGACUUUCUCCCUCUUCUGCAUCUCCAUCUCACCAGCUACUGGGAUUUGCAUCUUACUUACCCUGCUGUUUUUCUCUCAAACUGAUAUAAGAUGGUCCCAAGCUUCCUUCUAAGUCUGUUUUUGAAAUUCUUUUAUAUAUAAGAAAGCUAAGAACCCACCAAAGGGAAUCCUAAUUCCUUGAUAACACUAGAAAGAGCCUGAGAAAUGUAACAAAGGGGAAACGGAACAGAAUUUACCUACAGAUGAUCAAAGGCAGCAUUCUCCAGUGACCAAAGUUGAGCAUAUUUAAAUAUAAAUUUCGUAUCAGCAAUAGUGUCAAACUUAUCUCCAUAACAGAAACCAAGGGGAAGGUUUAUCAGGAUUCUUGUUCUUAUUAUUUGUCUGAGACAGGAUCUUGCUAGGUAGCCAGGGUGGCUUGGUGUCUUGAUCCCCCAGCCUCUAUCUCCCAGGUAUUGAGAAUAUAGGCAUCGAGCCCAACAUAGAAUUCUCUUUUAAAUCAAGUUUUGUCUUGGUAGCUGGACUUCAUGUGACAUAAGAGAAAGGUGGUCAUGUGAGCUGGGGAGAUGGCUCAGUGGUUUAGAGCAUUUCCUGCUCUUGGCACAACACUGGUGUUCAGCUUUCCCUACCCAGGUCAGGUAACUCAUGACUGCUGGUAACUGCAGGAUAUCCAACACUUUCUUUUGACUUCUGUGGUCACCAGUACUCAUACCUGACCUUACGGUGUAUGUGUUCCACUUUGCUUUCUCUGUUGCUGUAAUAGACAUCAUACAUAGCCAAAGCAACCCCAGGAAGAAAGGGUUUUGUUGUUUCGGUUUUCUUUGUUGUUUUGGUUUUAAUCACACUGGUUUAUAUUCUGUCACUGAGGAAAGCCAAGGGUGGGACUUAAGACAAUGCUUGAAGCAGAAACCUCAGAGGAUUGCUGCUUACUAGGUAGUCCUAAGACUACCUACUGCCCACAGUGGGUUGGGCCCUCCUACACAAUUAGUAAUUAAGAAAAUGCCCUACAGAUAUGCCCACAAGCCAAUCUGCUGCAAGCAAUUCCUCAAUUAAGGUUAACAAUCAUAAACAAGUGCAUGCUAGAUUGCCUGAACCAGAAAAGUUAAUUAAUGGCUAUGAUUGCACAGCCAAAGUACAGAACUGAAUUCAUACAGAGCUGGAACCAAAGAUCACAUAGCUGCCAGUCAGUAGGAGGUCACCUAUAUUUCCAUCUGGUGGUUCAAUUCUUGAGCAUGCUCCAACCAAGACAAAGGUGAAAAUAACAGCCCAUGCUUCGGUGGACUUCUAAAGUCACAUCACAGAGAAAAGUUUGAGGUCAGGGUAUUUUCCUUCCAGAGGCAUGCUUAUCUCAUUCUUUUGUUUGAUGUGUGGAUUGUGAAUACAUUCCUGAGCCAGUCAGUUGCCCAAGAAGAGCAUUCCAGGCUGCCUACUCUAGUGAUGGGUAUCAGAUACGAGGAGAAUAGGAUGCAGAGAGACAACUGAGGGAAGAAUCUUUGUAUUCUGUAAUCAGAAGAAAGGGGGAAUGUGUUAGACUAAGGGUAGGCAACUUUGGCUAUCCAAAAAUUCCCCAAGAUCUACCUGUCUGUACUUCCCAGGAUUAUCGACAGGUCUGUGCCACUCUGCCUGCUUUUACAUGAGUUCUGGGGUUCAGAACUCAGGUCCUCAUGCUAAUGCACCACUGAGUUACUUCCCUACACCCCACAGCCACCUCUCUCUCCUUUGCUACCUUUGGUUGUCUUCAGGUGAGAAAACAGGAAACAUUCUGCUUUUAGUUUUAAUAUGGUUGGUGUUGAUAUGUUGUGUUUAGUUUUUCUUUCUUUUUAGUGUUUUAUAAUAUGAAUACCUCGCAGAGGGAAAUAGCUUUAAUUUCAAAAUCAGAAGUUCGCACUCCAGUGAACUGACAGGGAGACUGCAAGGCGAAUGGCAUCAAUGUUUAACUCUAUCUCCUUUUUAUUUUUGUGACGGUUAACCAACCUGACUAGAUUUGCAGUCACUUAAGAGGUAUACCCCAUGUUUGACUGAGGAGGGAAGACCCGCAUUGUGUUUGGGUGGCAUCAUCCCACUGAAGUUCUGAACAAAAAGGAGAAAGCAGGAUCAUGCCACCAAUGCUGCUAUCCCGACUCUACUGAACUGUACUGCUGGUGUAUCCGUGAAGUGUUUGCAAGUUGACUGAGCUGCUGCUACUGACCUGAACCGAACUGAAGAUGUCCUGACAACAAAGAUUUGCUUCAGAGAACCAUUUGUAAACAGGCCCACUUCCCCCGUGUCCUUUCCUUUCCACUUCCUCUGGUGGGUGGUGGGCUAGAAGGGAGGUUAAUGUGUUUUAAACCAUCAUUAAAAGUAGACUGUUAAAAAAUUAAA
This is a non-coding RNA of Rattus norvegicus (Norway rat), 8684 nucleotides long. The record is from RefSeq and is a predicted model, not a curated record. Lineage: Eukaryota; Metazoa; Chordata; Mammalia; Rodentia; Muridae.